RNAcentral lists this ribosomal RNA (395 nucleotides) under uncultured bacterium. RNAcentral's name for it is "bacterial SSU rRNA". It matches the Rfam family "Bacterial small subunit ribosomal RNA", at positions 505 to 898 of the family's 1533-position model. The record is from RNAcentral.
GUGUCAGCCGCCGCGGUAAUACGUAGGGGGCAAGCGUUGUCCGGAAUCAUUGGGCGUAAAGAGCGUGUAGGCGGUCCGAUAAGUCCGCUCUGAAAGCCCGGGGCUCAACCCCGGGAGGCGGGCGGAUACUGUCGGGCUAGAGUCCGGAAGAGGCAAGUGGAAUUCCUGGUGUAGCGGUGAAAUGCGCAGAUAUCAGGAGGAACACCGAUGGCGAAGGCAGCUUGCUGGGACGGUACUGACGCUGAGACGCGAAAGCGUGGGGAGCAAACAGGAUUAGAUACCCUGGUAGUCCACGCUGUAAACGAUGGUCACUAGGUGUGGGGGGUGUCGACUCCCCCCGUGCCGGCGCUAACGCAUUAAGUGACCCGCCUGGGGAGUACGGCCGCAAGGCUAAA